This 449-nucleotide ribosomal RNA is filed under the name uncultured bacterium. RNAcentral's name for it is "partial 16S ribosomal RNA". It matches the Rfam family "Bacterial small subunit ribosomal RNA", at positions 29 to 523 of the family's 1533-position model. The record is from RNAcentral.
AACGAACGCCGGCGGCAUGCCUAACACAUGCAAGUCGAACGAGAUCUUCGGGUCUAGUGGCGCACGGGUGCGUAACGCGUGGGAAUCUGCCCUUUGAUUCGGAAUAACAGUUGGAAGCGACUGCUAAUACCGGAUGAUGACGAAAGUCCAAAGAUUUAUCGCCAGAGGAUGAGCCCGCGUAGGAUUAGCUAGUUGGUGUGGUAAAGGCGCACCAAGGCGACGAUCCUUAGCUGGUCUGAGAGGAUGAUCAGCCACACUGGGACUGAGACACGGCCCAGACUCCUACGGGAGGCAGCAGUGGGGAAUAUUGGACAAUGGGCGAAAGCCUGAUCCAGCAAUGCCGCGUGAGUGAUGAAGGCCUUAGGGUUGUAAAGCUCUUUUACCCGGGAUGAUAAUGACAGUACCGGGAGAAUAAGCUCCGGCUAACUCCGUGCCAGCCGCCGCGGUAA